Molecule: small nuclear RNA, 21 nt
Filed under: Arabidopsis thaliana (thale cress)
Lineage: Eukaryota; Viridiplantae; Streptophyta; Magnoliopsida; Brassicales; Brassicaceae
Description: snRNA_01092
Source: RNAcentral
ACCGAGCCUCUCUCCGAGACA